UCAAAGAUAUACAAGCUAACUAAAAAUAAAAGGUUCUGUCUCCUAUAGACGCUUUUAUCCGGUUUGAGAUUUUAGGCCGCCAAGAUGACAGUCCUAGUGGAUCUCGUGCAGACCGUAACUCGCUUCGACGACGUACGUCUUUCAAUCUGAUUGCUGCUGAAACGAGGCAAAUUGCUGUUCGAGACCGGACAAUUAGAACUCACUUUUUUCGAUAUGAAGUGGCAUACAUUGUUUUCAAUGUACUAGAUGUCUUCUUUAUUCUAAAGUGUGAAGUCCUUACCAGCGCCUCAAGUAUUCAAGCGCUGAAUUUAGUGUGUAUUGAGCUCCAUAUCGCAUUGCGGACACUAUUACACCACAGCGAAAUCUAUAAAUCCUGUUUAAUACACUCUAAAUUAAUAAUAAUUUGGUACGCAUGUAUUAGCCAAUACUCGAAAUUAUGCUUUGAGUACAAUAAGUUAUGUACUAUAGGCUAUGACAAUUGAGAUAAUACGAUAAGAAACAAUUUCCCACCCUGCCGUCUGGCUUGUAAGGGUUUAAACUUUUGAGUUCAAAGCAAUAAAUACGAGUAUUUGCUAUUAUAAAGUGAGAUGUAAUUAAUACUGAUUUGACGUCCAGCAUUAAAACUGGAAUAAAAAAUAGUAUUCAUAUUAAUAACAAUGACAUGCAUGUAAGUUCUAUAUAAUAACCACAUGGCUUGUGAUAAAAAAUAUAUAAUAUAUAUUUUGAUGCUCAUUUGAUUUUAUUUCAGCGUAUUAACACGUGUCCCAUUGAUUUCCCUGAAGCCGACGAUACCAUGUUCUUCGUAUUGACCCAUUCAGACGACGCUAGAAAUGUAGACGGCCGGCAGACGGCAAUGUAGGAGACGCUACCCGAAGGUGGUUUUGUUUUACUUGGAUACGUGUAAUGGCUAUUUCCAGAGAUUCAUGCCCGACACCUGAACCGACAGAAGACCAAUACCGUUAAGCUUUAACAAGCAUCGGCGUAAUGUUUUGUUUUCAUUUAAUGAAUUUAAAAAAAGCAAAACAACCUAAAAGGUUUUCAAAAUAUCAGCAUUAUUUUUCGGUAAACAAACAGUUAGUAGCAAUUACAUUUAUAAAGCAUCAACCUACUUAUUAAAGAUGCACUGCGUCCAAAGCGAGCGUGUAUUGAGUCGUAGUUAAGUUCCAGUAGAACCAGAACGUGUCGUCUUUUUGAAAAAUAUGUUCUCCACUUUCAACUUUAAAUUAUAUAUUUGAAUAUUUUUUCUCGUUGCAAUACGAAACAUUACAAAAUAUAGAAAGUCAAUUUCAUUUUGUUAUCUACAUGUUCUAUUUUCGGAUGAUUUCAUCAGUUUCAGGCGUAUUUCCGAAACGACGAGAACACACAGAUGGCUACCAAACGGAAAGAAUGCAUUCUCUGAGAGAAAAAAAACAUAACUUAAUCUAGUUUGUGUUCUUUUCAAUGGUAAUAAUAAACACAAUGAUUUACAAAAUAUCAAUCCAAGACAUGCUGGGAUUUCUUGCAGAAACAGUAACUUAUUGGGCCGGUUUUAAAAGCGAUGUUUGAGUAGAGACAAUGCGUUUCGUCUUCUAUUAAAUGUUCUGCCAAACGCUGUCUUGUUAGGGAUCAAUCUCGAGACACCAUUUCGCAUCACCACUGUGAUUUUAAGUUGUUCACUAAAAUUGUACAUGUAUAUACUAUAUAGACAUAAUACAACUACGCCGAUAUAAUGGGGCAUAAUAACAUUGUGUUCGUCACAUGUUUGUAGUGUGAACUGUUUGUUCCGUUUUCUAGUAUUUCGUUGCAGACGACAGGGCGCUGACACAUAUGCAGGGACAAUUUGAGAAAUUUCACUGAUCGAACGAACACUGAUGUUCCAUCUGCAGUAAUUCUCUAUAUGGACCACAACCCAUCUUGCUUUCAUGAGCGAACCGGAUGGCCGGAUAAAGACGGCAAUGUGAGAUCUACGCCGAACAGCUCUAUCCUGUACGGACACGUAACGAUUAUUAUAAAUUACGUGUACAUGAGGAUGAUUAACACGAUGGUGUAUGAUAAUAACAGGGACGACGAUGAUGGUAAUGACGCUGAUGGUGGUGAUCGCGUGGCGAUUGGGGUGAUGUUGAUAAGGAGGAGGAUGGUAUUUGUGUAAUAUAAGCACUUUUUUUGCAGUUUUGGCCCGACAAUAAAUUAUCAGUGUUCGUGAACAACAUAUGGUCGAAGCGUCAUAGGAAAACGAACAAUUAUUCAUGGCCAUGAGACAUUCUUUAUUGUAAAGAUUUAGGAUGUCUUUACAGUGGAACAUGGCCUUUUCUAAUUAUUUAAUUUAUACCAGUAGUAACAUUAACACUUUA
Dreissena polymorpha is the source of this 2330-nucleotide long non-coding RNA. RefSeq lists it as uncharacterized. The transcript has 2 exons. Lineage: Eukaryota; Metazoa; Mollusca; Bivalvia; Myida; Dreissenidae. The record is from RefSeq and is a predicted model, not a curated record.